This 253-nucleotide ribosomal RNA is filed under the name uncultured bacterium. RNAcentral's name for it is "partial 16S ribosomal RNA". It matches the Rfam family "Bacterial small subunit ribosomal RNA", at positions 524 to 776 of the family's 1533-position model. The record is from RNAcentral.
UACGUAGGUGGCAAGCGUUGUCCGGAUUUACUGGGCGUAAAGAGCGCGCAGGCGGCCAAGUCAGUCGAACGUGAGAGCCCCCGGCUUAACUGGGGAGGGUCAUUCGAUACUGCUCGGCUCGAAGACAGGAGAGGGAAGCGGAAUUCCCGGUGUAGUGGUGAAAUGCGUAGAUAUCUGGAGGAACACCGGUGGCGAAGGCGGCAUCCUGGACCAAUAUUGACGCUGAGGAGCGAAAGCCAGGGGAGCAAACGGG